RNAcentral lists this long non-coding RNA (236 nucleotides) under Lathyrus oleraceus (garden pea). Its description in RNAcentral is "Pisum sativum (pea) long non-coding RNA (PSAT_LNC000403)". Lineage: Eukaryota; Viridiplantae; Streptophyta; Magnoliopsida; Fabales; Fabaceae. The record is from RNAcentral.
UUUCUCAUAUGUUAUCACUGACUUAUCAAUUUUUGAAGUUGAUACAUGUUUGGUUGACUUCUUUGAGCAUGCUUAAACUUGCCUUGCCUUUCUGAUUUUCAUUGACUAUCUUCCCAUGAUCCAAAUGAGAUGAAAUUUGAUAUGCAUGUCAUGUUAUGGAUUAUGAUUGACCAUGAAUUAUUUGAUAAUUUUUGGAAUUGAUUAUGAUUGGUUUUGAGUUAAGUCUUGCUGUUGAC